RNAcentral lists this ribosomal RNA (467 nucleotides) under uncultured bacterium. Its description in RNAcentral is "partial 16S ribosomal RNA". It matches the Rfam family "Bacterial small subunit ribosomal RNA", at positions 28 to 507 of the family's 1533-position model. The record is from RNAcentral.
GACGAACGCUGGCGGCGUGCUUAACACAUGCAAGUCGAACGGAAAGGCCCUGCUUUUGGGGGUGCUCGAGUGGCGAACGGGUGAGUAACACGUGAGUAACCUGCCCUUGACUUUGGGAUAACUUCAGGAAACUGGGGCUAAUACCGGAUAGGAGCUCCUGCUGCAUGGUGGGGGUUGGAAAGUUUCGGCGGUUGGGGAUGGACUCGCGGCUUAUCAGCUUGUUGGUGGGGUAGUGGCUUACCAAGGCUUUGACGGGUAGCCGGCCUGAGAGGGUGACCGGCCACAUUGGGACUGAGAUACGGCCCAGACUCCUACGGGAGGCAGCAGUGGGGAAUAUUGCACAAUGGGCGGAAGCCUGAUGCAGCAACGCCGCGUGCGGGAUGACGGCCUUCGGGUUGUAAACCGCUUUCGCCUGUGACGAAGCGUGAGUGACGGUAAUGGGUAAAGAAGCACCGGCUAACUACGUG